AAAUAGAUACCCAGGUAGUCCACGCCGUAAACGAUGAGUGCUAAGUGUUGGGGGGUUUCCGCCCCUCAGUGCUGCAGCUAACGCAUUAAGCACUCCGCCUGGGGAGUACGGUCGCAAGACUGAAACUCAAAGGGAAUUGACGGGGGCCCGCACAAGCGGUGGAGCAUGUGGUUUAAUUCGAAGCAACGCGAAGAACCUUACCAGGUCUUGACAUCCCGGUGACCACUAUGGAGACAUAGUUUCCCCUUCGGGGGCAACGGUGACAGGUGGUGCAUGGUUGUCGUCAGCUCGUGUCGUGAGAUGUUGGGUUAAGUCCCGCAACGAGCGCAACCCUUAUUCUUAGUUGCCAUCAUUCAGUUGAGCACUCUAAGGAGACUGCCGGUGAUAAACCGGAGGAAGGUGGGGAUGACGUCAAAUCAUCAUGCCCCUUAUGACCUGGGCUACACACGUGCUACAAUGGACGGUACAAACGGUUGCCAACCCGCGAGGGGGAGCUAAUCCGAUAAAACCGUUCUCAGUUCGGAUUGUAGGCUGCAACUCGCCUAC
This 546-nucleotide ribosomal RNA is filed under the name uncultured bacterium. Its description in RNAcentral is "bacterial SSU rRNA". It matches the Rfam family "Bacterial small subunit ribosomal RNA", at positions 776 to 1319 of the family's 1533-position model. The record is from RNAcentral.